UUUUGUACCUUGUACAUCCUCUUCAAUAGAGACAGAGACAUUGAUAUCAGGAGAUGGCCUUUGAUUAGAUGUGGGCUCUUCUGAUACUUUCCAACUUCCGUUGUAAGAAUUUGUAGUAUUUGUUAUUUGUUGGUCAUUUGCAUUAUUGUUAACUGUUCCUCUAUGGUUCUGUUCUGUUAACUGAUUAUUAUCAGGUUUUGGCUGUGAGAUUGGUCUUGCCUCGGUUGCUACAUCUGGAGCACUUGAAAUUACAGAACUCAUUAUUGUAUGUUCGCGAUGA
This 280-nucleotide long non-coding RNA is filed under the name Jatropha curcas. RNAcentral's name for it is "long non-coding RNA (JCUR_LNC003521)". The record is from RNAcentral. Lineage: Eukaryota; Viridiplantae; Streptophyta; Magnoliopsida; Malpighiales; Euphorbiaceae.